RNAcentral lists this ribosomal RNA (183 nucleotides) under Salmonella enterica. RNAcentral describes it as "partial 16S ribosomal RNA". It matches the Rfam family "Bacterial small subunit ribosomal RNA", at positions 1 to 177 of the family's 1533-position model. The record is from RNAcentral. Lineage: Bacteria; Pseudomonadati; Pseudomonadota; Gammaproteobacteria; Enterobacterales; Enterobacteriaceae. RNAcentral also lists the same sequence under 4 other names.
AAAUUGAAGAGUUUGAUCAUGGCUCAGAUUGAACGCUGGCGGCAGGCCUAACACAUGCAAGUCGAACGGUAACAGGAAGCAGCUUGCUGCUUCGCUGACGAGUGGCGGACGGGUGAGUAAUGUCUGGGAAACUGCCUGAUGGAGGGGGAUAACUACUGGAAACGGUGGCUAAUACCGCAUAAC